This is a long non-coding RNA of Hemicordylus capensis (graceful crag lizard), 1067 nucleotides long. RefSeq lists it as uncharacterized. The transcript is spliced from 3 exons. The record is from RefSeq and is a predicted model, not a curated record. NCBI's taxonomy places the organism in Eukaryota, Metazoa, Chordata, Lepidosauria, Squamata, Cordylidae.
AUCCAUUUGAAAUACAGGAAAAGGAGUAAACCAGACAGACCUCAUAGUAUACCUCUUUCACACCAGCCUAUCAACAUCCAGCCUAUCAACAUCCAGCCUAUCAACAUUUUCACACCAGCCUAUCAACAUUCUUCCCAGGGGGGUGAACUACCACUCUAGUAGGUUGUCAAGAAGAAAAGCUAUGCACAAUGGCAUGAGAGAAUCUAAAAUGGCUGCUGCUGAGCACUUGGGCACUGGAGUUAAGAGUCCAGACGAGAUGCUCAGCAGAAAUCCUGAAUGAAAAGGAUCUAUCCACAGAGGGAUUAUUAUCAGUUGGGUCAGUUGAAAACUUGAUGCCAUGUCAGCUGAAACUGCUACAGGUAUAUGACUAGCCAGCAGUUCACAAAAUGAUUCACGAAAGAACAUUCCUCUUGGGACCUUUACAAUGGAGAAUCCCUCCCCACCCUCCCUGCAAAAAACUCCCUCAGGCACAGAAUUUAUUUUGGUAAGUCAGCACAGAAUCAUCCUUGACACUGGUAGAUCAUCACAGCAUCAGUCAAGGCAGUAGGGAAUCUUAUGGACUAGACAUCCUAGCAUUAAAAAGAAAGGAGAAGAAUAAUUGUAGACCACUCACUAUGCUUGAGUGGUCCCCCUUUCUUCUCUCUAAGAAGUGUGUUUUUUUGGCAGCUGCUGAAGGAUAUGCUAAACUGCUUAUGAGGUAUGUUGUAUGUUAUGUGAAUGGAAAAAUUGCUAGGAGACGGAUAGUGGAGAAGGUGGAACUCAGCUCAUUUUAAAAGCCCAGUCAAAGUGAUGGAUCUGAAAUUAUUUUGAAGCUCAAUUGAAAAUGUGGCUCACCAAGGUGGCAUGCAUAGAAUUGGAACUAAAAUAUUACUUCUGCUGAUUAUGAGGUUAUGCCAUUUCCUUCAACCUAGGCUAACCUUGUAAGUAAAAGGAGAAUGCUAUGUUUUUAGUGUACAGGCGCUAGAUUUGUAGAAAAACAAGGAGCUUCUUAUAUUUAGAAUUUCUGCUUUCAAGUGACUGAGGAGCAAAAACAGAGCCAAGAACUGUUUAAAUAGCAGAAGCAGAGA